CUUGGACAGUGUGUGUGGGAGCAGAGGGGACCCUGACCUUCCUGUGAAGUGUCAUGAGCCCAUAAGGACAGUUGGCUGAUGGCCUGGGCACCUGUCCAGCUACAAUCUCCAUGCUGCAUCUUAGGAGCAAGAGAAAUUGAGAGGAGAUUCAGGGUUUGUGUUUGUGGCUUAGGGGGAUGGGACACAGCAGGAGGCAGGGGCUCAGCAGCCAGAAGCCCUUGGUUAACAGGAAAUGGCCCGGUGUCAGAGCCCAGCUUCUUCAUGUCCUUGGCUGCCACAUUGAAGAGGAGGUGACAAAUCCCUGAGAGCAGUCACGGGUCACUUCCUGGCCUUUACCCUGGGCCACCACCUUGGGGUCUGUAUACCGAAGCCUCGGUCCCAUGAACCAGCUUGUGAACUAACUUCUGCGGUGUACGUGUAGACUCUGGCACAAACAUGAGGAUGGAUCUCUUGUGCCGUCCAGGAGAGAAGGGUCUGUGAAGAAUUGUGCUGGGAAUUGCAUUGAAUCUGUAGAUUACUGACUGACCCUUUCUUCCCAUCAACUCCUUCUGGAAAGUGAAGAUCCAGGACUCUAGAGGACAUGUUCAGUGAUGGCAUCAUCUCCACCAAAGGCUAUGAGUAUGAGCAGCUUCACUUUUAUCCCGCUGGAACUUGCCUGUCACUGCCUGCCACCAUUGAUGUCUCGUCCCCGAAUGCUGCAGAAGGGGAAAACAUUCAUCUCCUUGUUCAUAAUCUGCCAGAGAACCUUGGAACCCUUUCCUGGUGUGGCAAAGAACUGAGGACCAGGGUUGCCUGCUCUCUCUGGGAUGAAGGAACUGGCUUGGAGUUCCUUGGCCCCUGAGGAACGAGGAGGUUACUGAGCACAGGCGGAGAGCUGGUACCCUAGCAGAAUCUGUGGAACAGUUGGUGAUGUGAUCCAAACUCCUUCUGUCUUUCAAUCAUUGUGCACAGAUUUGAUUUAAUAAAAGUCUCCACACCACACAGUGAGCAGCAAGGCUGAGAAGUGUCUGUGCCCUGAGAGAGAGGCAGCUCACCCCAAGGAUGGCCUCUGCUGAGUCCUGACCUCGGUCUGUCAGAACCAGAGAAGGAACCACUGGCUUCUCAACGUGAUCUUUGUGACAUAAAAAUCCCCGUUGUUCUUCUGGGCUGCCCUGAGUUUACACCCAACAUGCAGAGAUAUCUCCCAGGCCUAGGAUGGGACUAAGUGGAUGACGACUGCGUGAAGGAACUUAACCAUGAUCACAGAGUUCGGUUCCAGAUGUCCAUCAGGUGAGUCAGACGUCCCCUCGAGGCUCCUACAGACUCCUGACUACACUGACUCUUUCCUGUCUCUUAUGCAUUGGUGUGAACGUAUCAGAUCCCCUGGAACUGAAGCUACAAUCAGCUGUGAGCUGCCAGGUCCUCUGGAAGAGCAGCGAGUGCGCUUAACCGCUGAGCCAUCUCUCCAGCCCCUCUCUCUCCCUGCUCAAGACCCUUCCAGCUGCCUCUGGCUGUUCUCUCCUCAUAUCUGCAAUAAAAUCCUCUCC
This 1526-nucleotide long non-coding RNA is filed under the name Cricetulus griseus (Chinese hamster). RNAcentral describes it as "lncRNA (ENSCGRG00015037625.1)". Lineage: Eukaryota; Metazoa; Chordata; Mammalia; Rodentia; Cricetidae. The record is from RNAcentral.